GCGGCCAUGGCGGAAUUGGUAGACGCGCAGGGUUGAGGUCUCUGUGGUAGCGAUAUCGUGGAAGUUCGAGUCUUCUUGGCCGCACCA
RNAcentral lists this transfer RNA (87 nucleotides) under Alphaproteobacteria bacterium. Its description in RNAcentral is "tRNA-Leu". It matches the Rfam family "tRNA". From Rfam's summary of the family: Transfer RNA (tRNA) molecules are approximately 80 nucleotides in length. The record is from RNAcentral. Lineage: Bacteria; Pseudomonadati; Pseudomonadota; Alphaproteobacteria.